This 305-nucleotide ribosomal RNA is filed under the name uncultured bacterium. RNAcentral's name for it is "bacterial SSU rRNA". It matches the Rfam family "Bacterial small subunit ribosomal RNA", at positions 336 to 633 of the family's 1533-position model. The record is from RNAcentral.
UUCCUACGGGAGGCAGCAGUGGGGAAUAUUGCGCAAUGGGCGAAAGCCUGACGCAGCGACGCCGCGUGGGUGAAGAAGGUCUUCGGAUCGUAAAACCCUGUUGUUAGAGAAGAAAGUGCGUGAGAGUAACUGUUCACGUUUCGACGGUAUCUAACCAGAAAGCCACGGCUAACUACGUGCCAGCAGCCGCGGUAAUACGUAGGUGGCAAGCGUUAUCCGGAUUUAUUGGGCGUAAAGAGAACGCAGGCGGUCUUUUAAGUCUGAUGUGAAAGCCUUCGGCUUAACCGGAGUAGUGCAUUGGAAAC